AUGCAGUCGAGCGAAUGGAUUAAGAGCUUGCUCUUAUGAAGUUAGCGGCGGACGGGUGAGUAACACGUGGGUAACCUGCCCAUAAGACUGGGAUAACUCCGGGAAACCGGGGCUAAUACCGGAUAACAUUUUGAACCGCAUGGUUCGAAAUUGAAAGGCGGCUUCGGCUGUCACUUAUGGAUGGACCCGCGUCGCAUUAGCUAGUUGGUGAGGUAACGGCUCACCAAGGCAACGAUGCGUAGCCGACCUGAGAGGGUGAUCGGCCACACUGGGACUGAGACACGGCCCAGACUCCUACGGGAGGCAGCAGUAGGGAAUCUUCCGCAAUGGACGAAAGUCUGACGGAGCAACGCCGCGUGAGUGAUGAAGGCUUUCGGGUCGUAAAACUCUGUUGUUAGGGAAGAACAAGUGCUAGUUGAAUAAGCUGGCACCUUGACGGUACCUAACCAGAAAGCCACGGCUAACUACGUGCCAGCAGCCGCGGUAAUACGUAGGUGG
Molecule: ribosomal RNA, 498 nt
Filed under: Bacillus thuringiensis
Lineage: Bacteria; Bacillati; Bacillota; Bacilli; Caryophanales; Bacillaceae
Description: bacterial SSU rRNA
Rfam family: Bacterial small subunit ribosomal RNA
Source: RNAcentral